GGCCCCAUCGUCUAUGGGUUAAGAUCCCGGACCUUCACUCCGGGGAACAGGGUUCGACUCCCUGUGGGGCUA
This 72-nucleotide transfer RNA is filed under the name Actinomycetota bacterium. RNAcentral describes it as "tRNA-Glu". It matches the Rfam family "tRNA". From Rfam's summary of the family: Transfer RNA (tRNA) molecules are approximately 80 nucleotides in length. Lineage: Bacteria; Bacillati; Actinomycetota. The record is from RNAcentral.